GGCAGAAUCAGGGAACAGCAUGAAAUCAAUGGAAAUGGAUGCAGCUGGGCCGGGGUGGUAGCUAUGUACUACAGGGUGUUGCCCCUUCUGCAGAGAGCAUCUCAACUGAAGUCAGUGGGCUUGCUCAAGGCAAGAUCUUCAGCCUUCAGUAAAGCACAUAGAUGUGUGAUCAGUGCUGGUGAAGUCAUAGGACUCCCUGCAACCUGUUAGGUAUGGGUUUAAGCUCUUCCCUUGCCACAAAUCAUACAAGUGUUGCUAAGAGCAAUUAUGUGAGCAGCUUCUAUUUCUGUUAAGCAGUUAUGUGAAGGAGACUAGCAAGAUCAAUUGUGAGUGUGCAAAGCACAGUAGGAAAUUCCUCCAGUCACCAUUAGCAACUAAGACGUGCCUAAGGGCCUAGGGUAGAGGAAGUGACCUCUCCUGUAUCUGUGAUGAAAGGAGUUGUUGGUAUAUCAGCCUGGCAUGCCUAUGGGAUAGCAAGUACUUGAUCUUUCUACAACAAACUGCAUAAAGUAGCAUUAGGGUAGCAUUAGGGAACCUGAGAGCAGAGAGGUUUCUCCUGAAAUGCUUUCUACCUAAUUGCUGCCAGCCUAUUCAGAGCUUUGGCUGUCUGAAGUAUGUCCUAAGUUUGGGCUCUGCCUCAGGGAAGCACUAUCAUGAUGACAGUGACUCUGGAUUAGAAGGGAAAGUCUCUCCUUUACAAGAAAUCCUUUCCCCAGCCUCCCUCAUAGCAGCAGGACUGCAGGCCACUUGAAAUCCCUGUAGACAGGUUCUUCCCCAGGCCUUAGUGAUAAUGAAUUAAUCCUCAGCCCUUACAUGCACCUUUCAUCUUGUGGGGCUCCUUGCAGUUUGCUUAACAACAGUGUGUCCAUUUUACAGAUGAGAAAAGGGAGGCACAAAUGAAUGAAACAGCCUCGCCCCUGAUCAUAGCGGGGAAAAAGGUUCAUUCCACCUCUUGCAACAGUGUACGAACUCAAGGGACCCCAUCCCACAGGGCAUGAUAAGCAGAAAUAAAUCAAUUAUUCUGAGAGAUUACAAAGAAGAAGUUUGCGGAGACCAUUUUGGAUGGUUGAAAGAGGAUCGUUGGAGUGCCCAAUACAGGAAGCACACUGAGAGAAAUCAAGUUGAGUGGACCAUCUAUACCCGACUGCAGGAGCUCCAGCAUCUGGGCAGAGGUCUUACAGUUUUCAGACUGCCACACAUCACUGUAAAGCCUGAGCUCAGACUAGGCAUGCUGUAACUUGGGAUACUGCCCACUACAGGAUGAAAACUUGGGGCUUUGUGUGCCUCUACAAUUGGUCUCCACAGGGGACAAAUAUCUUAACACUACUGCUAGCUAAUGCCGAUUCAUCUUCAGCAUGAAUUAGCCUCUGCAAAAUAAGUCACUCUUUAGACUGCAUAAGAAUGAGCUGAUAGGAUUUAGGUAAAAUGCUUGUAAUUGUGUGUGGAAAGGUAGUGUGUGUCCUGGAAGAAGGUGGAAGAGGUAUGUCAGCUGGGUGCUGAAAAUUUCCCAGCAUCAGGUCCCAUCCCUCAGAGUGCUGACUGCCCUUUAUUCCCCUGGAUCAGCACGGAGAGGGAUCAUUCCCUUAAGAAGGCAAGAGCUAAAUGCCAAAAUGCUUACUGCAGGGAUUCCUAGGCAAGGGAAUGCUAGGAUACUGAUGCCUUGCAUUGAGGCCAAUCCCUGAUGCAUGCACGCUGCAGUAGUGCAAAUGGACUUUGCUGUAGUGAAAUGUGUCCCGGGAAUUAUACAAGUGAAAAAAACCAAUAAAGUCACAGAUAGUACUUUGUA
This is a long non-coding RNA of Alligator mississippiensis (American alligator), 1786 nucleotides long. RefSeq lists it as uncharacterized. The transcript has 2 exons. The record is from RefSeq and is a predicted model, not a curated record. NCBI's taxonomy places the organism in Eukaryota, Metazoa, Chordata, Crocodylia, Alligatoridae.